This 468-nucleotide ribosomal RNA is filed under the name uncultured bacterium. RNAcentral describes it as "partial 16S ribosomal RNA". It matches the Rfam family "Bacterial small subunit ribosomal RNA", at positions 28 to 507 of the family's 1533-position model. The record is from RNAcentral.
GACGAACGCUGGCGGCGGGCUUAACACAUGCAAGUCGAACGGAAAGGCCCUGCUUUUGUGGGGUGCUAGCGUGGCGAACGUGUGUGUAACACGUGAAUAACCUUCCCCUGGCUUUGGAAUAACUUCAGGAAACUGGGGCUAAUACCGGCUAGGAGAUCCUGCUGCAUGGGGGGGGUUGGAAAGUUUCGGCGGAGGGGGAUGGACGCGCGGCUUAUCAGCUUGUGGGUGGGGUAGUGGCUUACCAAGGCUUUGACAGGUAGCCGGCAUGGGAGGGUGACCGGGCACAUUGGGACUGAGAGACGGACCAGAGUCCUACGGGAGGCAGCAGUGGGGAACAUUGCACAAUGGGCGGAAGCGUGAUGCAGCAAUGUCGCGUGCGGGAUGACGGUCUUCGUGUUGUAAACCGCUUUCGCCUGUGACGAAGCUUGAGUGACGGUAAUGGGUAAAGAAGCACCGGCUAACUACGUG